GACGAACGCUGGCGGCGUGCUUAACACAUGCAAGUCGAACGGUAAGGCCCUUCGGGGUACACGAGUGGCGAACGGGUGAGUAACACGUGGGUGAUCUGCCCUGCACUUCGGGAUAAGCCUGGGAAACUGGGUCUAAUACCGGAUAGGACCACCGCCUGCUUGGGUGGUGGUGGAAAGCUUUUGCGGUGUGGGAUGGGCCCGCGGCCUAUCAGCUUGUGGGUGGGGUGAUGGCCUACCAAGGCGACGACGGGUAGCCGGCCUGAGAGGGUGACCGGCCACACUGGGACUGAGAUACGGCCCAGACUCCUACGGGAGGCAGCAGUGGGGAAUAUUGCACAAUGGGCGCAAGCCUGAUGCAGCGACGCCGCGUGAGGGAUGACGGCCUUCGGGUUGUAAACCUCUUUCAGCACCGACGAAGCGCAAGUGACGGUAGGUGCAGAAGAAGGACCGGCCAACUACGUGCCAGCAGCCGCCGUAA
RNAcentral lists this ribosomal RNA (478 nucleotides) under uncultured bacterium. RNAcentral describes it as "partial 16S ribosomal RNA". It matches the Rfam family "Bacterial small subunit ribosomal RNA", at positions 28 to 523 of the family's 1533-position model. The record is from RNAcentral.